UGGAUAGUGAAAUUAAGUUUAUAAAACAAGUGCAGCACUGGCAUCAGGAGAGUAAACGUUGGUAUUCUUCACUACUAAUGUGCCUCAACCCUGACUUGGUGGGACCACUUCUAAGGAUGAAAGGGUUAUACUGUACUGACCAUGUCACCU
This 150-nucleotide small RNA is filed under the name Crocodylus porosus (Australian saltwater crocodile). RNAcentral describes it as "TUC338 (ENSCPRG00005003242.1)". Lineage: Eukaryota; Metazoa; Chordata; Crocodylia; Crocodylidae. The record is from RNAcentral.